AGCAGCCGCGGUAAUUCCAGCUCCAAUAGCGUAUAUUAAAGUUGUUGCAGUUAAAAAGCUCGUAGUUGAACUUCGGGAUUUACCCAUUGGUCAGGCUUAAUUGUCUGUACUGGUGAGAUAAAUCUCUACCUUCUGAGGAACUUUCAUGCCAUUUAUUUGGUGUGAUGGGAAAUCAGGACUGUUACUUUGAAAAAAUUAGAGUGUUUAAAGCAGACUAUCGUCUGAAUACAUUAGCAUGGAAUAAUGAAAUAGGACGGACUGAUUCUAUUUCGUUGGUUUCUAGGAUCACCGUAAUGAUUAAUAGGGAUAGUUGGGGGCAUUAGUAUUCAAUUGUCAGAGGUGAAAUUCUUGGAUUUAUUGAAGACUAACUACUGCGAAAGCAUUUGCCAAGGAUGUUUUCAUUAAUCAAGAACGAAAGUUAGGGGAUCGAAGACGAUCAGANACCGUCGUAGUCUUAACCAUAAACUAUGCCGACUAGGGAUCGGACGAAGUAAUUUUAUAAUUGACGCGUU
This 512-nucleotide ribosomal RNA is filed under the name uncultured Diversispora. Its description in RNAcentral is "SSU rRNA". It matches the Rfam family "Eukaryotic small subunit ribosomal RNA", at positions 569 to 1080 of the family's 1831-position model. Lineage: Eukaryota; Fungi; Glomeromycota; Glomeromycetes; Diversisporales; Diversisporaceae. The record is from RNAcentral.